This 466-nucleotide ribosomal RNA is filed under the name uncultured bacterium. RNAcentral's name for it is "partial 16S ribosomal RNA". It matches the Rfam family "Bacterial small subunit ribosomal RNA", at positions 30 to 507 of the family's 1533-position model. The record is from RNAcentral.
CGAACGCUGGCGGCGUGCUUAACACAUGCAAGUCGAACGGAAAGGCCCUGCUUUUGUGGGGUGCUCGAGUGGCGAACGGGUGAGUAACACGUGAGUAACCUGCCCUUGACUUUGGGAUAACUUCAGGAAACUGGGGCUAAUACCGGAUAGGAGCUCCUGCUGCAUGGUGGGGGUUGGAAAGUUUCGGCGGUUGGGGAUGGACUCGCGGCUUAUCAGCUUGUUGGUGGGGUAAUGGCUUACCAAGGCUUUGACGGGUAGCCGGCCUGAGAGGGUGACCGGCCACAUUGGGACUGAGAUACGGCCCAGACUCCUACGGGAGGCAGCAGUGGGGAAUAUUGCACAAUGGGCGGAAGCCUGAUGCAGCAACGCCGCGUGCGGGAUGACGGCCUUCGGGUUGUAAACCGCUUUCGCCUGUGACGAAGCGUGAGUGACGGUAAUGGGUAAAGAAGCACCGGCUAACUACGUG